RNAcentral lists this small nuclear RNA (95 nucleotides) under Marchantia polymorpha subsp. ruderalis. The record is from RNAcentral. Lineage: Eukaryota; Viridiplantae; Streptophyta; Marchantiopsida; Marchantiales; Marchantiaceae.
GUCCCUUCGGGGACAUCCGAUAAAAUUGGAACGAUACAUAGAAAAUUAGAAUGGCCCCUGCGCAAGGAACCGACAGUGUAACGUGUCAUUUCAUA